RNAcentral lists this ribosomal RNA (397 nucleotides) under uncultured bacterium. RNAcentral describes it as "partial 16S ribosomal RNA". It matches the Rfam family "Bacterial small subunit ribosomal RNA", at positions 523 to 918 of the family's 1533-position model. The record is from RNAcentral.
AUACGUAGGUGGCAAGCGUUGUCCGGAAUUAUUGGGCGUAAAGCGCGCGCAGGCGGUCCUUUAAGUCUGAUGUGAAAGCCCACGGCUCAACCGUGGAGGGUCAUUGGAAACUGGGGGACUUGAGUGCAGAAGAGGAAAGUGGAAUUCCAAGUGUAGCGGUGAAAUGCGUAGAGAUUUGGAGGAACACCAGUGGCGAAGGCGGCUGUCUGGUCUGUAACUGACGCUGAGGCGCGAAAGCGUGGGGAGCAAACAGGAUUAGAUACCCUGGUAGUCCACGCCGUAAACGAUGAGUGCUAAGUGUUGGGGGGUUUCCGCCCCUCAGUGCUGCAGCUAACGCAUUAAGCACUCCGCCUGGGGAGUACGGUCGCAAGACUGAAACUCAAAUGAAUUGACGGGG